This 342-nucleotide unclassified non-coding RNA is filed under the name uncultured fungus. Its description in RNAcentral is "sequence contains ITS1". The stretch from base 1 to 102 matches the Rfam family "5.8S ribosomal RNA", at positions 50 to 154 of the family's 154-position model. Lineage: Eukaryota; Fungi. The record is from RNAcentral.
AAAUCGCGAUAUGUAGUGUGACUUGCCUAUAGUGAAUCAUCAAAUUUUUGAACGCAUCUUGCACCUCUGGGUAUUCCUGGAGGUACGCCUGUUUCAGUAUCAUUUUAUCUUCUCUUUUUAACCUUUAUUGGUUUUUAGGGGAAAAAUUACUAUUGGCCCUUGAGACUUUUUUUGGGACCUCGGUUCCAAAAAUUCUUCACGGCUUAAAUGUGCUCGGUCAGAUUGACUGGUAGUUACCUUUUGGUAGAUUUUUUUCUGCAUAAAAGUAGCCCCAACCUUUUAUUCUUGUCCAAACUCACUCAACUUGAUCUGAAAUCAGGCGGGAUUACCCGCUGAACUUAA